GCCCUUUAGACUGGGAUAACAGAGGGAAACUUCUGAUAAUACUGGAUAAGUUAGUAUAUCGCAUGAUAUGCAAAUGAAAGCUACGGCACUAAAGGAGAGCUUUGCGUCCUAUUAGCUAGUUGGUAAGGUAAGAGCUUACCAAGGCGAUGAUAGGUAGCCGGCCUGAGAGGGUGGACGGCCACAAGGGGACUGAGAUACGGCCCUUACUCCUACGGGAGGCAGCAGC
RNAcentral lists this ribosomal RNA (226 nucleotides) under uncultured Leptotrichia sp. Its description in RNAcentral is "partial 16S ribosomal RNA". It matches the Rfam family "Bacterial small subunit ribosomal RNA", at positions 128 to 355 of the family's 1533-position model. Lineage: Bacteria; Fusobacteriati; Fusobacteriota; Fusobacteriia; Fusobacteriales; Leptotrichiaceae. The record is from RNAcentral.